AGUGAACGCUGGCGGUAGGCUUAACACAUGCAAGUCGAACGGCAGCACAGUAAGAGCUUGCUCUUACGGGUGGCGAGUGGCGGACGGGUGAGGAAUACAUCGGAAUCUACUUUUUCGUGGGGGAUAACGUAGGGAAACUUAAGCUAAUACCGCAUACGACCUACGGGUGAAAGCAGGGGAUCUUCGGACCUUGCGCGAUUGAAUGAGCCGAUGUUGGAUUAGCUAGUUGGCGGGGUAAAGGCCCACCAAGGCGACGAUACGUAGCUGGUCUGAGAGGAUGAUCAGCCACACUGGAACUGAGACACGGCCCAGACUCCUACGGGAGGCAGCAGUGGGGAAUAUUGGACAAUGGGCGCAAGCCUGAUCCAGCCAUACCGCGUGGGUGAAGAAGGCCUUCGGGUUGUAAAGCCCUUUUGUUGGGAAAGAAAAGCAGCAGGUUAAUACCCCGCUGUUCUGACGGUACCCAAAGAAUAAGCACCGGCUAACUUCGUG
This 492-nucleotide ribosomal RNA is filed under the name uncultured bacterium. Its description in RNAcentral is "partial 16S ribosomal RNA". It matches the Rfam family "Bacterial small subunit ribosomal RNA", at positions 29 to 507 of the family's 1533-position model. The record is from RNAcentral.